GCUAUCUAGAGGUUUUGGAUGUCUGGGAGUUGUUUCCUAAGAUUGAACUUACUAAGAUGUAAACCCUAGCAGCUAAGGUUGGGAUGAAAACCCUAACCUUACAAUUUAUUCUCGGGAUUGCGUUACCCUUAUCAAAAUCAUUCUUGUUUAUACAAUGCAAGACUGGUGUCAAGUGUUGUCUGCCAUUCUUUGGAGUUGGGAAGGAACCAUACAAUUGUUUAGGCUGCAAGCCACCUAUUUCGUCAUUCUGGAUGCAUGUUCCACCUAUGACAGCUAAGGGCAUAUAGUGUUGCAAACUACCUGCCAGCUUAGGGUACCACGGUAUACAGAUCUACAACGUUUUUUGGCAAUUUUAUGGCUAGGAGGUGUUGCCUUUAUAGAUUUCAAUGACAAACUUACAACCACCGAGCACAUACAAUUAACACAAUCACCACUCCACACUCGCUUGGAACCCCCUAGUCUUCCAAUGUCUUUAUAAGGAUCUCAACUUGGGCAACACGAAGGAAGGGCUCAUUUAGACUUCAAUACUAUGGGACGAUACAUAGUCAAUGUUUACAAUUGGUGAUCAACCAAGGCAUAACAAAAGUUCAUCCAGCUAGAGCUUGAAAGGGAUUUUAUAAUUUUAGUUUCUUCAAUUGGAACAUUGAACUGUAAGUCACUGAGCUAUUGUGCAGCAUCUUCAACUGCUCAAAUCCGAACAGUUAAUUCAAUGAUACAAUAUAUAUACAUACACUCCUUUCCUGUACUUCACAGCAUUGGAGAAGGGAGAAAAAGUUCAAGUGUCUGUCGAUCAUAAUUAUUACUAGGAAGCUAUCUGGAACAUCACUCGGUCUGCUUCAGCUAGAAAUCAAAAGGGUUUUCCUCUAAAACCUACGGCAUUCCUUCAUUCGCAGAUAUGAAAAGGACCAGGAAGAGACUCGAGGAGAAUGGAUUUCAAAAUUGCAGACCUACAACUUUGAGAGCAGACUUACACCAGCCAUAGACCCCCAGGCAAAGGCUGGACCAGGAAGAGACUCGAGGAGAAUGGAUUUCAAAAUUGCAGACCUACAACUUUGAGAGCAGACUUACACCAGCCAUAGACCCCCAG
Cryptomeria japonica (Japanese cedar) is the source of this 1087-nucleotide long non-coding RNA. RefSeq lists it as uncharacterized. NCBI's taxonomy places the organism in Eukaryota, Viridiplantae, Streptophyta, Pinopsida, Cupressales, Cupressaceae. The transcript has 5 exons. The record is from RefSeq and is a predicted model, not a curated record.